CCCCCGCCCGCCGGCCAAGGUGCCCUCCGCGCCGGCCGGCACCCACCUGCGGCGGGCGGCCGCUGCCGGCGGGGGCAGCCCCGUACCUGUCCCCGCCACGCCGGCGGCAGCGGGCCGGGCCCGGUGACAGCUUCAGCGACCAGAGCUGUCUGAAACGUCUGGAAUCACCCAGAGUUUUUCGAGUGCGAUACAGCACCAGGCUGGCUGCAGGAGGCCUGAUCCUGCCUGUAACCCAAGCUUCUGCUGCUGUGCCCGUCCCUGCCAAAAGCAGAGGCUGUGGAUGAGUGACCCGAGGCCAAUUUGUGCUGCAAGUUGUUCAGUCAAGUCAAGCUGCAGCUGGGGGUGGGCUGUGAGUGCAAGGAGGAGGAACAGAACCACCACACAGCAGAGGGGUGAAGGAGAAAUGACCCAGCAAGUAAUUGAAAGAGCGGAGGUGCCUGGCGUCGCACACAUGAGAUGGUAUCUCUGGAGAGAGAGUAGAGAUAACACGACUGAGUACCCUGCGUCAGAAAACGGACCAUUAACAGGAAAAAAGA
Long non-coding RNA from Grus americana (Whooping crane), 536 nucleotides. RefSeq lists it as uncharacterized. The transcript has 3 exons. The record is from RefSeq and is a predicted model, not a curated record. NCBI's taxonomy places the organism in Eukaryota, Metazoa, Chordata, Aves, Gruiformes, Gruidae.